This 507-nucleotide ribosomal RNA is filed under the name uncultured bacterium. RNAcentral describes it as "partial 16S ribosomal RNA". The stretch from base 21 to 331 matches the Rfam family "Bacterial small subunit ribosomal RNA", at positions 48 to 357 of the family's 1533-position model. The record is from RNAcentral.
GACGAACGCUGGCGGCGUGCUUAACACAUGCAAGUCGAACGGAAAGGCCCUGCUUUUGUGGGGUGCUCGAGUGGCGAACGGGUGAGUAACACGUGAGUAACCUGCCCUUGACUUUGGGAUAACUUCAGGAAACUGGGGCUAAUACCGGAUAGGAGCUCCUGCUGCAUGGUGGGGGUUGGAAAGUUUCGGCGGUUGGGGAUGGACUCGCGGCUUAUCAGCUUGUUGGUGGGGUAGUGGCUUACCAAGGCUUUGACGGGUAGCCGGCCUGAGAGGGUGACCGGGCAGAGUGUGAGUAAGAGAGGGCGAGGACUGGGAGGGGGGGCAGCAGUGGAGUAAAGGGAGGAAGGGGGGGAGGCAUGAGGCAGCACGGCGGCGGGGGGGAUGACGGCGUUGGGUUGGGCAACCGGUUGCGCCGGGAAGGAAGGUGGAGUGGAGAUAAUGGGUAAAGAACAAGCGGCGAAUAAGGGGCAAGCAGCGGAGUAAUGGACGAACAACAACCGUCGGAAC